Molecule: microRNA precursor, 65 nt
Filed under: Triops cancriformis
Lineage: Eukaryota; Metazoa; Arthropoda; Branchiopoda; Notostraca; Triopsidae
Description: microRNA tcf-mir-2944b precursor
Source: miRBase by way of RNAcentral
AAGGAACACUUGCUGUGGUAUGUGGUUGUGUUCUUGUGAGUCGUAUCACAGUGAGUGUUACCUAG